GUCCUUGUAGUAUAACCAUUACCCUGGUCUUGUAAACCAGAAAUGAAGCAUAAACCCUUCCCAGGACA
This 68-nucleotide transfer RNA is filed under the name Ochotona macrotis (large-eared pika). RNAcentral describes it as "tRNA-Thr". The record is from RNAcentral. RNAcentral also lists the same sequence under 1 other name. Lineage: Eukaryota; Metazoa; Chordata; Mammalia; Lagomorpha; Ochotonidae.